GAUGAACGCUAGCGGGAGGCCUAAUACAUGCAAGUCGAGCGGUAGAGUGACUUCGGUUGCUUGAGAGCGGCGAACGGGUGAGUAACGCGUACACAAUCUACCUUUAAGAGGGGAAUAGCCCUGGGAAACUGGGAUUAAUGCCCCAUGGCAUCACGAAGUGGCAUCGCUUUGUGAUUAAAGCUGAGGUGCUUAGAGAUGAGUGUGCGUCUGAUUAGCUAGUUGGUGCGGUAACGGCGCACCAAGGCGACGAUCAGUAGGGGGCGUGAGAGCGUGGACCCCCACACGGGUACUGAGACACGGACCCGACUCCUACGGGAGGCAGCAGUAAGGAAUAUUGGUCAAUGGAGGAAACUCUGAACCAGCCAUCCCGCGUGCAGGAAGAAUGCCCUAUGGGUUGUAAACUGCUUUUAUCUGGGAAGAAAAGUCGGCAUUUAUGCUGAUCUGACGGUACCAGAGGAAUAAGCACCGGCUAACUCCGUGCCAGCAGCCG
RNAcentral lists this ribosomal RNA (490 nucleotides) under uncultured bacterium. RNAcentral's name for it is "bacterial SSU rRNA". It matches the Rfam family "Bacterial small subunit ribosomal RNA", at positions 28 to 517 of the family's 1533-position model. The record is from RNAcentral.